RNAcentral lists this microRNA (21 nucleotides) under Gossypium hirsutum (cotton). Its description in RNAcentral is "ghr-miR399c". Its record names the gene ghr-miR399c. Lineage: Eukaryota; Viridiplantae; Streptophyta; Magnoliopsida; Malvales; Malvaceae. The record is from miRBase by way of RNAcentral.
UGCCAAAGGAGAGUUGGCCUU